RNAcentral lists this long non-coding RNA (5145 nucleotides) under Homo sapiens (human). RNAcentral describes it as "non-protein coding lnc-OPA1-2:2". The record is from RNAcentral. Lineage: Eukaryota; Metazoa; Chordata; Mammalia; Primates; Hominidae.
AACAACACACACCAGGGCCUGUGGGGAGUAGGGAGGGAAAACAUCAGGAUAAAUAGUUACUGCAUGCGGGGCUUCAUGCCUAGGUGAUGGGUUGGUAGGUGCGGCAAACCACCAUGGCACACGUUUACCUGUGUAACAAACCUGCACGUUCUGCACAUGUGUCCCAGAACUUAAAAUAAAAUAAAAUUUUAAAAAAGAAAGAAUGUUUCCUUGAUGAAGAUAUCUCUGCUUUUAAGAUGUAUCUGCAUUUUUAAUUACACUUCAGUACAAUUGACGUGCCAUUUAAGUAAUUAAUCUUCCACUAGAGGAAAGGAAAGGGAAGAGAAGGGAAGGGAACCAUCUAGUCUUUUACUUAUUAAUUUUUAUAUUAGUAAUUUUUAUGAUUAUGAGAAGAAUCUAUAAACCAUGUGAAGUGGAGAAAAUUUGGUUACUAGAGAAAAACAUGAAGUGGAAAAUAAAUACCACCUAUAACCCACCACACAUUUUGGCAAAUGUGUUUCCAGUCCAGUCUUUUUAUAUCAAUUAGAUAUGUACUUUUUUUAUUGAAAUAUAAUUCACAUACCACACAAUUCACUGGUUUCAAUUGUACCACUCAGUGGCUUUUACUAUAUUCACAGAGCUGUGCCACCAACCAUUGCCACAGUACAAUUUCAAACAUCUUCCCCAGCCUCUCAGAGAAACCUCCAUCCCUUUUAGCUGUCACCCUUUCAGCUGUCACCCCUUAACUUCCCUCAUCUCCUCCAUCUCCAGCCCUGGGAAACCAAGAAUCUACUUUGUGCUUGUAUGGAUUUGCCUAUUCUGGACAUUUCAUAUAAAUCGAAUCAUAUAAUAUGUGGGGGUUUUUUUGGUAACCAGCUUCUUUCACUUAGUAUAAUAUUUUCAAGGUUUAUUUGUGUUGUAACGUGAGUGCGCACCUCCUUCGUAUGGCUGAGUAAUAGUCUGGUGUUUGGGUAUAACACAAUUUUUAAUCCAUUCAUCACUUGAUAGACAUUUGGGACAUUUGGGUUGUUUGCGCUUUUUGGCUAUUAUGAAUAAUGUUACUAUGAACUUUUGGCACAAAUUUUUGCAUGGGUGUAUGUUUUCAUUUCUCUUGGUUAUAUACCUAGAAAUGGAAUAGAAUGGGCUUAUGUGGUAACUCUAUGUUUAACCUUUUGAGGAAUUGCCAGACUGUUUUCCAGAGUCUCUCCACUAUUUUACAUUUCCACCAGCAGCGUAUGAGAAUUCUGAUUUCUCCACACCCUCACCAACAAUUUUUAUUAUUUGUCUUUUUUAUGACAGCCAUCUAGUGUUAUAUAAUUUCAUUGUGGUUUUUAUUUGCAUUUCCCUGAUAGCUAAUGACUCAUCUUUUUAUGUGUUUAUUGAUCAUUGUAUAUAGUCUUAUGGAGAAAUAGCUUUCAGAUCUUUUGCCUUUAUUUAAAAAAAAAAGAGAGAACAAGUGUCUCUCUGUUGCUCAGGCUGGAGAGCAAUGGUACAAUCAUAGCUCACUGUAACCUCAAACACCUAGGCUCAAGCCAUCCUCCUACCUUAGCCUUCAGGGUAACUGGAACUAUAGGCAUGCAACAACAUUCCUGCCCAAAAAGAAAUUGAUGAGGACUCCUGGGCUUAAGCAGUUCUCCCGCCUCAGCCUCCCAAAGGGCUGGGAUUACAGGUGUGAGCCACUGCACCUAGUCUUUUGACCGUUUUCAGAUUGUGUUCAUUGUCUUUUUAGUAUUGAGUUUUAAGAGUUAUUUAUAUAUUCUAGAUACAAACCCCUUAUCAGAUAUAUGGUUUGCAAAAUUUUUCUCCCAUUCUUUUGGCUGUCUUUUAUACUUUCUUGGUGGUGUUCUUAGAAAUACAAAUAUUUUUAGUAUCAAUGAAAUCCAACUUAACUAUUUUUUCUUUUGUUGCUCAUGCUUUUGGAGUCAUAUCUAAGAAACCAUUGCCUAAUGCUAGGUCAUUAAGAUUUAUCCCAUCUUUUCUUUUAGGGGUUUUCAUAAUUUUAGCUUUACAUUUGAGUCUUUGAUCCAUUUUAAGUUAAUUUUUGUGAAUGGUGUGAGGAAUGGGAAAAUUUAUCCCAUGCCUCUCUCCUAGCUUCUGGCAGUUCUUGGCUUUUCUUAUAGAUAAAUCUUUCCAAUCUCUGCCUCUGGCUUCACAUGGCUCUCUCCUGUGUAUGUCUCUGUGUCUUCUCUUUUUCUGUCUCUUUAUCAGGAUUUAAGGCCCACUCUAAAUUCAGGAUGAUCUCAUCUCAAGAUCUUUAACUUAAUGACAUCUGCCAAGACCCAAUUUCCAAAUAAAGUCACAUCCACAGGUGCUAGGGGUUGGUAUUUGGAGUAUCUUUGGGAGGCACCACUCACACCUGUCCCGUGGUCUUCCUCUGAGGAUGGGUGAGGAGAAGAUCAGUUACUUACUCACUCAUCUGCUCACUCCUCCAACAGCUAUGCCAAAGGUCAUAGGAGGAUCCAGGGAUAUGAUAAUAAAUUGGAGAGGAUCCUUGCCCUGGAGAAUAUCACUAUUUGGAAGGGCUUUGGGAUAUGAAUAACAGAAACACAAGGAAAGGGAUGGUGAGAGCCAUAAGAUUCGGAAGCUGAAGGACUAAUGGAAGCAGCCCAGAGAGGGAAGGGCUUUCAAAGCAGAGGCUGACAUUGUCAGCAAAGGCAGAGGCUAGAGAGCAAAAAUAGGUCAGGAAUCCUUGCAACUGAGUUUGGCAGUAAUGGCGGGUGUGGGCGAGAGAGAGAGACAAAGAUAGAGAAGCAGUCACCCAGAAAACUCAGGCUCCAACUGCCAUAGUUUCUUUUAGGAUAUGUGAGGGUGGGCUGGGGUUUGCAGGACCACUUAUUCAUACCUUCGGGACCCUCCAAAACUGGCCUGGUAGUCUAGAACUCCAGGUAGGGAUCACCCUGAACUGAACCUGCAGCUAGAAGAUGUGGGCUGACCAUGAAUUCCAUAUACCUUCACAGGUGAAGUUGUAUGAGCCCAGAACCAGCUGAGUUCCCCAAUCCAGGCUCAUGCUAAAGCCAGUUCUGAUCAUCUCACUUCCUCAUUUGGCAAGAAAACGCCUCUGUCGCAAACCAAUUGCUGAGCUUCAUGUCUUUCAUGCAAAUUUUGCUAUAAAAUCCUGUCACAACAAACAGAACUGAGCUGCUCCUCGGAGCUCCAUGAACGUAGAUGGCAGGACUGUCUUACUUUUUGAGGUAGCAGUCACGACAGUUGUCAUGGGGUAAUAUUAUUGCUCCAGAGCCCUGUGGCCAGGGUCCUGCUGAGGGCUCCACACAGAGGGGACAGGGUGGCAUGUAGACAGAAGGCUCUCACUGACUGGACCUUGGGACCCUUGAGAUUCUGAGCCCAAGAGGUGUCACCCCACCCCAUUGGACCUUAUCGACGGCCUCUCCCCUGAAGAGCAAAGGCUGAGGGCAAAAAGGAAAACAGAUUAACAGCGCAAAAGCUCCCUGGGUCUUCAGCCAGGAGCGGCAAGUUCCUUACAAAUUUACACACAUGUGGCAGAAGCGUAACAAUAAGCAGAGUCGUGCUGGGCUAGCUGCGCCGCUUCUGCCGUGGAAGAACAGGUUCGGCAGCCAAUCUCCUGGGAGGAGCCCUCUUUGGUGGAAAUUUGGACACACAGGAAGAGCACACACUGGUGGGGCCUUGUUCCCUGCAGCACCAUCUGGGUGAAAAGGAGGCCAGCAUACGCAGUUUGGAAGCAAGAAGUCACAGCAUGAAAUAUGCAGGACUUCCCUCUCCUAAGGCACAGUUUUCCCAGGUUCAAAAUAAGCAGCGUGAUGUCCUCUGCCCACCCACCCCCUCCUUUUCUUGUAGUGUCCCUUAUCUCACUUAACAAAGUGUGGGCUCUCACCAAACCAGAGAGCCUUCCUGAAACAGGCAGAGAGAGCACUGCUCCCCACCCCUCACAUCCUCCCUACCCUUUCCCCCGACCCCCCUCGCCAAGCCACAGAGGGAGGGCAGUUCCCAGGGUAAGCCUCGUGUACCAAAAACGGUCUGUGCUCUGCGUGUGCGAGGAUUGAGAGCCACAGUGGACUAAAGCCAGGAGACUUGGUGUCGAGUUCUAGCUCUGCCACCAACAUGUUCAGCGGCUUGGAGCAUGUCACUUGGUGUCACCACGCCUCCGUUUUCUCUCUGUAAAACAAUCCAGGUAGUACGGUAUUUCAGUGUUGCAAAGAUCCUUAGAGAUUUAGUCCAGGAGUUGGCAAAAUACAGUCCACUGGCCAAUCUUGUUCACCACUUGUCUUUGUAAAUAAAGUUUUAUUGGAAUACAACCACGCCCCUCCAUUUACAACCCAUCUGUGGCUGCUUUCAUGCUACAGUGGUGGCUUUGGAUAGUUGAGAGAGAUACUGACCAUGUGGUCUACAAGCCUAAAAUAUUAUAUUUGUCUCUUUACAUAAAAAGUUUGCCAGCCCCUGCUCUAGGCCAACAUCAUCAUGUUAACAACACAGAAAGAGAGGCAUGGGCAGAUUAAGGAAUUUGCCAAACUCAUAGAGCAAGUCAGGGCAGAGGCUGGGACAGCCUGGCGCUCCUGAUUUACAUUGGCCCAGAGUUCUUACCUGGUCUAAAGCUCUCCGUCUGAUUCUAGGUAGAAGCUGUGCUGGGGAGAAGCCUUGUGGGGAUAGAGGAGCCGGUUCCAUGAAAGAAGUCUAUGCAGUUGGGGCAGAACCCUGAGACUUCUGCAGCAGGGACAGUUCUGUUGCAUUCUGUAUGGGUCAGCGUGAGGCUACCACACCUCAGGGCUGCUGAGCUUAAGAGAGGAGCCAAAUGGCUCUCUUGAUAGGAAAUGGGGCUUCAGGUUGAAAUCAGAUGAGAGCUGGCCUCUGAGGACAUUUUAACCACAGGUCACAGCUCUUGGUAAACUUUAGUUGGCUUUUGAACCACGGGGAGACAUUUUUUCUUGCCUCUUUACUUACUGGCUAUUUCCUCCUUCUAGCAUUCAUUAAUCUGACUGGUUAACCAUUGAACCCAACUCAGUCUCCUCUUGUUUCAAAUCUUGUUCUCCCUGUUGGCUUCAGAAAAAGAGUUCACACUAAACAAACCUACUUUUUUUCUCUUUCUUUUCACAGCCAGAGCCAAGUGAUAAAGGAGGUGGGGUCAGGGGUGCUAUGUUUACUCUAAAAGACACACCCAAACCUGAGCUCUGGGAGUGGGGAGGGCCCUUCUAA